GAUGAACGCUGGCGGCGUGCCUAAUACAUGCAAGUCGAGCGAACAGACGAGGAGCUUGCUCCUCUGACGUUAGCGGCGGACGGGUGAGUAACACGUGGAUAACCUACCUAUAAGACUGGGAUAACUUCGGGAAACCGGAGCUAAUACCGGAUAAUAUAUUGAACCGCAGUGUUCAAUAGUGAAAUACGGUUUUGCUGGCAGUUAUAGCUGGAUCCGCGCCGCAUUAGCUAGUUGGGAAGGUAAAGGCUUACCAAGGCGACGAUGCGUAGCCGCCCUGAGAGGGUGAUCGGCCACACUGGAACUGAGACACGGUCCAGACUCCUACGGGAGGCAGCAGUAGGGAAUCUUCCGCAAUGGGCGAAAGCCUGACGGAGCAACGCCGCGUGAGUGAUGAAGGUCUUCGGAUCGUAAAACUCUGUUAUUAGGGAAGAACAAAUGUGUAAGUAACUAUGCACGUCUUGACGGUACCUAAUCAGAAAGCCACGGCUAACUACGUG
This 497-nucleotide ribosomal RNA is filed under the name uncultured bacterium. RNAcentral's name for it is "partial 16S ribosomal RNA". It matches the Rfam family "Bacterial small subunit ribosomal RNA", at positions 28 to 507 of the family's 1533-position model. The record is from RNAcentral.